Non-coding RNA from Lupinus angustifolius (narrow-leaved blue lupine), 90 nucleotides. The record is from Rfam. Lineage: Eukaryota; Viridiplantae; Streptophyta; Magnoliopsida; Fabales; Fabaceae.
CUAGCAGUGAUGAGGCUCUAACAUAUAAGAAGUAUUCCUGAGUGGUUUUCUUCAAUGAAAUAUUCAUGUUACGCUUGGCUUCUGAGCUUC